RNAcentral lists this ribosomal RNA (460 nucleotides) under uncultured bacterium. Its description in RNAcentral is "partial 16S ribosomal RNA". It matches the Rfam family "Bacterial small subunit ribosomal RNA", at positions 338 to 795 of the family's 1533-position model. The record is from RNAcentral.
CCUACGGGUGGCAGCAGUGAGGAAUAUUGGUCAAUGGGCGGAAGCCUGAACCAGCCAAGUAGCGUGCGGGAUGACGGCCCUACGGGUCGUAAACCGCUUUUAUACGGGAAUAACGCGCCUUACGUGUGGAGCUUUGCAUGUACCGUAUGAAUAAGGACCGGCUAAUUCCGUGCCAGCAGCCGCGGUAAUACGGAAGGUCCGAGCGUUAUCCGGAUUUAUUGGGUUUAAAGGGAGCGUAGGCGGCCUGUCAAGCGAGCUGUUAAAUUCGCGGGCUCAACCCGGGCCUUGCAGUGGAAACUGGGCGGCUUGAGUACGCGGAAGGCAGGCGGAAUUCGUGGUGUAGCGGUGAAAUGCUUAGAUAUGACGAAGAACCCCGAUUGCGAAGGCAGCCUGCUGCGGCGGGACUGACGCUGAUGCUCGAAAGCGCGGGUAUCGAACAGGAUUAGAUACCCUAGUAGUC